Molecule: long non-coding RNA, 199 nt
Organism: Fukomys damarensis (Damara mole-rat)
Lineage: Eukaryota; Metazoa; Chordata; Mammalia; Rodentia; Bathyergidae
Exons: 3
Source: RefSeq, a predicted model, not a curated record
GUCAGAUACUGGCCUAGCAAGGGCUCCAGGGAUGGGACAGAUGACUGAGCUUUGGUUGAGGGGAGAGAAACCAAAGAAAAUAACCACACAACUUUCCAGAUUGUCAUCCAAGCAUGAAUUCCCUUCAGAACCCCGAGGUGCCCACUGUGCCUGCCCAUGUAGAUGGCCCCAGUGACAGAGUUGUGCAAACUAUAACCAC